GCGUGCGAGUCUUGGGGUGACAAACCCAUCGGCGCAAUGAAAGUGAAGGCAGAUGUUGGUCUGCUUAGGCGAGAGUCUCCUUCGGGGGACGCAUCGUCGACCGAUCCCAGGCUACGCUGUGGCGGGAUUUGAGUGAGAGCGUGCCUGUUGCGACCCGAAAGAUGGUGAACUAUGCCUGAAUAGGGUGAAGCCAGAGGAAACUCUGGUGGAAGCUCGUAGCGAUUCUGACGUGCAAAUCGAUCGUCAAAUUUGGGUAUAGGGGCGAAAGACUAAUCGAACCAUCUAGUAGCUGGUUCCCUCCGAAGUUUCCCUCAGGAUAGCUGGAGCCCGGUGCAGUUUUAUCAGGUAAAGCGAAUGAUUAGAGGUCUUGGGGUUGCAACAACUUCAACCUAUUCUCAAACUUUAAAUGGGUAAGAAGCUUGGCUUGCUCAACUGAAGUCAGGCAUUGAAUGCCGGGGCUCUUAGUGGGCCAUUUUUGGUAAGCAGAACUGGCGAUGUGGGAUGAACCAAAUGCCAGGUUAAGGUGCCCGAAUCAACGCUCAUCAGAUACCAUGAAAGGU
RNAcentral lists this ribosomal RNA (560 nucleotides) under Vosmaeria crustacea. RNAcentral's name for it is "eukaryotic LSU rRNA". It matches the Rfam family "Eukaryotic large subunit ribosomal RNA", at positions 682 to 1222 of the family's 3401-position model. The record is from RNAcentral. Lineage: Eukaryota; Metazoa; Porifera; Demospongiae; Suberitida; Halichondriidae.